AUUGAACGCUGGCGGAAUGCUUUACACAUGCAAGUCGAGCGGCAGCGCGGGGCAACCUGGCGGCGAGCGGCGAACGGGUGAGUAAUACAUCGGAACGUACCCAGUCGUGGGGGAUAACACAGCGAAAGUUGUGCUAAUACCGCAUACGACCCGAGGGUGAAAGUGGGGGACCGCAAGGCCUCACGCGAUUGGAGCGGCCGAUGGCGGAUUAGCUAGUUGGUGAGGUAAAGGCUCACCAAGGCGACGAUCCGUAGCGGGUCUGAGAGGACGGCCCGCCUCACUGGAACUGAGACACGGUCCAGACUCCUACGGGAGGCAGCAGUGGGGAAUUUUGGACAAUGGGGGAAACCCUGAUCCAGCCAUUCCGCGUGAGUGAAGAAGGCCUUCGGGUUGUAAAGCUCUUUCGGCAGGAACGAAACGGUCGUCGCUAACAUCGAUGGCUAAUGACGGUACCUGAAGAAGAAGCACCGGCUAACUACGUGCCAGCCGCCGCCGUAA
Molecule: ribosomal RNA, 498 nt
Filed under: uncultured bacterium
Lineage: Bacteria
Description: partial 16S ribosomal RNA
Rfam family: Bacterial small subunit ribosomal RNA
Source: RNAcentral